GAUCCCGGCUGGCCUCUCUCUCAACAGUAAUUAUAUAUUCCCCAUAUACAUAGGGAGAUGAUCAUAGAUCUUUCUUAUAUAUAUACACUCGCAUACUUCUUCGAUCUCAUGCAAUUAAUAUUGGUUGCAACUCUCUCCAUCUGCCUCUCUUUCUCUGAUAUAUAUAAACAAGAAAAUGAUGGAGACGAAGAAGUUGGAGUUAGGAACUAAAAUGGCGACUAGUAGUACUACUGCGAGCUGCAGGAAGAAGAAGAAUAUCAGGAGCUUAGUUCCUCCAGUUAGAGGAAGUAUUAAGCGCAGGAUUGUCACCAUUUUAUAUCAGAACUUGAAGCUCGCAAGCCAGCUUGCCCUACAUUACCUGCUCAUGAGCAACAACGUCAACCACAACCACAACCACAACCACAACCACAGUAGUACUUAGCCAUCCUCUUCUUUCCGUGAUCAUGUACAAGUUACAUACUAUAGGUGGUGAUGUUGGAAUUAUUAUUACCAUGCUUUAUCGAAAGACCAUUCAUGAUGACAAGAAGAAUUGGAGUACCCAAUCAAGCAUACAUGAAGAAAGGCACCAAAGAGGAAGACAAGAGUAGAAUCACAUGACAUCUUCCUGGCUUGCAGUCAUGACGAUAUAGUCUAGGAUAUAUAUAUAUUGUAAGAAUAAGAAGGAUCCCAAAAUCAAAAUCCUCAAGAAUUUAUAGGGUAAUCAUGUGAUGUGUAACGUGGUUUCUAUUCUCACACCGUACGUAAGAAAAUAAUGAAAAGUUGAUAGCUUUUGUUUUGUUUCAAAAA
This is an RNA transcript of Carya illinoinensis, 786 nucleotides long. RefSeq lists it as uncharacterized. The record is from RefSeq and is a predicted model, not a curated record. NCBI's taxonomy places the organism in Eukaryota, Viridiplantae, Streptophyta, Magnoliopsida, Fagales, Juglandaceae. The transcript is spliced from 2 exons.